This is an RNA transcript of Toxorhynchites rutilus septentrionalis, 1113 nucleotides long. RefSeq lists it as uncharacterized. The record is from RefSeq and is a predicted model, not a curated record. Lineage: Eukaryota; Metazoa; Arthropoda; Insecta; Diptera; Culicidae. The transcript has 4 exons.
UUAUCUGCUCAUAUUUCAGACUUCAAUUUCAAGCCAAUUGGUUCAAGUGAUAUUUUUUUUAGUAUAUAUUUUCCCGGAACCUCAAAAUUUGCAGAUACAAAAUGAGUACCAACAAAGCCAAGCGAAAUUCUACAGUAAUCAAAACCAAGCAACAAAUCGUCUCCAAAAUAGACUCUGGCGUAGCAAAAAAAUCGUCCCGGCUAGUGCGCCCUUUUACCGGUAAUGAAAGUUUCGAGGAGCGCAAGGCAACCGUCAUACCUGACAAAACUCGCCCAAAAACCAGUAGUAGCUCUUCUGCACGCUCAAGUUCGCCUAAGCCGGAAAGUAGGCCCCAACAAGAAGUACAGCCGCGCAGUAAAAUCCCCGUUUAUCUAUGGAAAUCGCGUCCAGCAGCCACCGCUGCAGGGAAGAAAAACUUGAAAAACAAUGUUCCAAAUUCCAAAGAAACCGGAGAACACGGCAAUUCUCAAAAGAAUUUGGCCGCUCAGCAUCGAAAGCAUCAAGGUUCGAAAAGUAUGUUGAGUGGUGAUAAUACCGCUAUCGUCAAGGGUAUUCUGAAAGAAAUAGCCGAAGUUUGUGUGCAGACUGGACCACCAAAGUCGGAAGCGCAGACCGUCUGCCCUCCGUUUGAGGGAUCCGGCAGCAUUCCAACGGAAACGCAGACCGUGCUCGAGCAGCGCCAACAGCUUUCCGAAAUGCGGGAUAAAAAUCAACAGCUAGAGAUCAAAUGCGCUUACCUGCAAGAACGUGUUGUUCGACUGGAGCGAGAGAUCCAAGCCAAAGAAGCUGCAGCAAGUGAAAGAGAGAAGGAAACCCCAGGAAAAGAAGUCGGCACCAUGGAAGGGCAGAAGAAUAAAAUCGAUUGUGAAAAACAGAGGAUGAUUCACUCUUAACUGUUGAAAUACGCUGAGGCAAGCAAGAAGGCUCUUAUUACUCGAACAGAUGAGUUGUCUAAGCCAGAAGUGAGGAAUGAGGGUUUGCAAGGAAACACACCUUCCAAAGAGAUCUGUUCCAUACUUUCGGAUAUGGUGGAUGAGAUUCGAAAUCAAAAUGAUCAACUGUUCGACUUAUUGUGAGUCGAAAAUCAAGUAUUAUUAUUUUUGAAAUAUUUUC